CCUACGGGUGGCAGCAGUGAGGAAUAUUGGUCAAUGGGCGUGAGCCUGAACCAGCCAAGUCGCGUGAGGGAUGAAUGUACUAUGUGUUGUAAACCUCUUUUGUCAGGGAACAAAGGCGGGUACGCAUACCCGGAUGAGGGUACCUUAAGAAAAAGGAUCGGCUAACUCCGUGCCAGCAGCCGCGGUAAUACGGAGGAUGCGAGCGUUAUCCGGGUUUAUUGGGGUUAAAGGGAGCGUUGGGGGAUUGUUAAGUCAGUUGGUAAAGUUUGCGGGUCAACCGUAAAAUUGCAGUUGAAACUGGCAGUCUUGAGUACAGUAGAGGUGGGCGGAAUUCGUGGUGUAGCGGUGAAAUGCUUAGAUAUCACGAAGAACUCCGAUUGCGAAGGCAGCUCACUGGACUGCAACUGACACUGAGGCUCGAAAGUGUGGGUAUCAAACAGGAUUAGAUACCCCUGUAGUC
RNAcentral lists this ribosomal RNA (460 nucleotides) under uncultured bacterium. RNAcentral's name for it is "partial 16S ribosomal RNA". It matches the Rfam family "Bacterial small subunit ribosomal RNA", at positions 338 to 795 of the family's 1533-position model. The record is from RNAcentral.